RNAcentral lists this ribosomal RNA (255 nucleotides) under uncultured bacterium. Its description in RNAcentral is "partial 16S ribosomal RNA". It matches the Rfam family "Bacterial small subunit ribosomal RNA", at positions 524 to 776 of the family's 1533-position model. The record is from RNAcentral.
UACGAAGGGGGCUAGCGUUGCUCGGAAUCACUGGGCGUAAAGCGCACGUAGGCGGAUUCCUAAGUCGGUGGUGAAAUCCUGGAGCUCAACUCCAGAACUGCCUCCGAUACCUGAGAGUCUCCGAGUCCGGGAGAGGUGAGUGGAACUGCGAGUGUAGAGGUGAAAUUCGUAGAUAUUCGCAAGAACACCAGUGGCGAAGGCGGCUCACUGGCCCGGUACUGACGCUGAGGUGCGAAAGCGUGGGGAGCAAACAGG